AAAUAUCUUCCAAAUUUAAAACACUACACUAAAAAUCAUCAACCAAAUUCAUAUGAUCUUAUCCAAAUACAAACUCAAAGGUUAAAUAGUAAAAAAAAAUAUCUAAAUAUUAAAUUUUUGACUUUGAGGGCUAACAGGAUCACUUAACACCUCUGAUUCUAAUUUAGAAAUGUCAGGAGACAAAGGAUUAUCAAUUUCAAC
RNAcentral lists this long non-coding RNA (201 nucleotides) under Arachis ipaensis. RNAcentral describes it as "long non-coding RNA (AIPA_LNC002082)". Lineage: Eukaryota; Viridiplantae; Streptophyta; Magnoliopsida; Fabales; Fabaceae. The record is from RNAcentral.